CAUCCGCCCAGGGGUGGGCGGCACUGUGCUUUGCACUGGGGCCUCUCAAGGCAGCUUUGUGCCGUUUUGCUUUCCUGCGUUCUUGAUGCUCUGAGGUACUCAUUGUAGGGGGUACAAAGAUUAAUCCAAAGAUGCUGUGUGGUUGUUAGGAUGCAAGUACUGGGGACAAAGUGACGACCACGUAGACGGUCCCACGCAGAGUGCUUCGGCUGGUGGAGGGAAAAUAGUGCUGCUCUCCUGCCAAUGAAACGUGGUUAGCACAAUUUCCCUGUAUCUCCUCUUCUUACCCAGCCUUUCCUGAAUGGAGCAUCAAUCUUACUAGACGACAAAGAGACAAGAAAAGAUCAAAGGAUCUGUGGAGAUAACAAAGCCCCCAACAGUCCAGCAAGAUAACAGCCGUCCAAGUUUUUCAAGUUAGAACUCACAACAACCCAGUAGGAAGAAUAAAAAUUUCUGGGGGCUGAGGAUUUAGCUCAGUGGUUCCCCCUCCUACCUCACAAGCUCAAGGUCCCGAGUUCAAUCUCCG
This 526-nucleotide long non-coding RNA is filed under the name Fukomys damarensis (Damara mole-rat). RNAcentral describes it as "lncRNA (ENSFDAG00000026078.1)". The record is from RNAcentral. Lineage: Eukaryota; Metazoa; Chordata; Mammalia; Rodentia; Bathyergidae.